UGGAGCAUCUUUUGGAAGGCUAAGCCUC
This 28-nucleotide non-coding RNA is filed under the name Mus musculus (house mouse). Lineage: Eukaryota; Metazoa; Chordata; Mammalia; Rodentia; Muridae. The record is from RNAcentral.